Molecule: long non-coding RNA, 687 nt
Filed under: Canis lupus familiaris (dog)
Lineage: Eukaryota; Metazoa; Chordata; Mammalia; Carnivora; Canidae
Description: lncRNA (ENSCAFG00845014351.1)
Source: RNAcentral
CUGAGAUAUUCUCUGCCAUAAGCUUCUAAGAACUGUGCAUUAAUACUUGUUAUUAGGUAAAGAUCUAAUAAUAUCAUUAAUACUGAAAUAUAAGUGAUUAACAAAAUGUUAUCUUCCACAGGGAUAUUUGCAUUUUAUCAGGCAAACAAAGCCUUAAGCCAAAGAAAUCAGUUUUUCUCACAGAUAUUUUAGUGCAGUCUUCCCUCUGAACUUCUGUCACAUGUGGGAUCCAAUGCUGGACAAGAUCAUGGAGUGACUACUAUUUUUCAUGUUCCCAAAUGCACUUUUGUAAACUACAAAAUAUUAAACAAAAGUGAAUACUCAUUAUCUCUGUGAUCAUAUGAUCAUCUCAAAUUUCUCUGGAGCCAGGAGAAACUGACAGUGGAUAAUCAGAUCAUUGGUGAAGUGGAUUAUAAAAAUGGAUGUUACUUACUGAGGUGUUCCUGAAGUACUCUGUGGCCAUUCUAUGCACUGAGCAACAUGGACUGAGGGACCUCUGGCAUUUCUGUUAAGGCGAGUGUAUGACAUCAGGUCCGUCAUCAGCCUGAAGAAUUUAAACUGAGUUUGGUUGAUUAAAAUAAAGGACUCAAGAGCAAAUGGCUUGAAGGUAGCAGAGACUAUAACCAGCCUGUAACUUUUGGGAAGUGUUAAAAUGGAUGUAUAUUUAAUAUUGUUUUCACUUUUCAU